AAUUUUAAAAUAUUUACAAGGGAUUUUAAAAGGGUUUUACAAUAUUUACAAUGGAUUUUAAAGGGCUUUAAAAGAUUUACAAAGGAUUUGUAAAGAUUUUUAAAGAGUUUAAAAGUAUUUUGAAAGAUUUACAAGGGAUUUUAAAACCUUUUAAAAUUACUUGUAAAUUUUUUAAAACCCUUUUAAAAUCCAUUGUAAAUCUUUUCAAACUCUUUUAAAAUCUUUUGUAAAUCUUUUAAAACCUUUUUAAAAUCUCUUGUAAAUCUUUUAAAACCCUUUUAAAAUUCUUUGUAAAUCUAUUUGCCGCCAAAAAAUAUUUACAAGGAUUUUUAAAAUCAUUUUUUUGGCUGAGGAAAAAUUUGUUACGAAAAAAAUUUUUGCCGGGAAUGUUUUUUUUUGUCGGGAAAAAAGUUUGGCAGAAACUUUUCUUUUUGGCGGGAAAAAAAAAAUUUGGCGCCAAAAAAUUGGCGGGAAAAGUUCAGUUUUCAAUUACAUGUUUCUAUUAGAUGAGGGUAAUUUGGUCAUUUUGUUCAAGAGAAGGGGUAUUUUUAAAAAUGGACAACAUAAAAGGGUAUUGUUGCAAAAGAGUAGUAAAAAAAGUGUAAUUUUAUAAAUCUCCCUUAUUUUAAUAUACAAACAAAUAUUAUUUUUACUU
Molecule: small RNA, 655 nt
Filed under: Arabidopsis thaliana (thale cress)
Lineage: Eukaryota; Viridiplantae; Streptophyta; Magnoliopsida; Brassicales; Brassicaceae
Description: ATSL191950
Source: RNAcentral